This 1290-nucleotide long non-coding RNA is filed under the name Mytilus galloprovincialis (Mediterranean mussel). Lineage: Eukaryota; Metazoa; Mollusca; Bivalvia; Mytilida; Mytilidae. The record is from RNAcentral.
UUCCUCUAUACACAAAAUUUAAUAUAAAAAAUCAACAAUAUUUAAAAAUAUCUAUUUGUUUCUUAUAGAUAUUCUUAACACAUUUCUUAUAUUCAUUCAUCCAAAACAUAUAAUAAGCUCACUAAUACAUGAAACAGAAUUAAAAGCCUAAUAUGUCCUUACAUUUUUUAUACACACCUGCGACUCAUUUCACAAAAAAUCAUACAAUUAAAAUUAAUUGAAAGUUGUACUGAAGUGUGUAUGACUUACAGUAAUUUUACUCUUAAGAUUUAUAUGUGAAAAGAGCUGCUGGCUUUCAUUUAUUCAAGUUUGAGUGUUUCUGAUGUAGUAAAUCUAGAGCAUACAAAAUGCUAUUUUCAUUUAAAACAAUAGACACAUCAUAACCUACUGAAGCUAUUAAAAUCAAAACACUAGAGAAUGAAAAUGACUAGAGGCUCUAAAGAGCCUGUGUCGCUCACCUUGGUCUAUGUGCAUAUUAAACAAAGGACACAAAUGGAUUCAUGACAAAAUUGUAUUUUGGUGAUGGUGAUGUGUUUGAAGUUCUUACUUUACUGAACAUUCUUGCUUCUUACAAUUAUAUCUAUAAUGAACUUUGCCCAUUAGUAACAGAGAAAAAUAUUUGGUAAAAAUUUACAUAAAUUUACCAAAUUAAUGAAAAUUGUUAAAAAUUGACUUUAAAGGGCAAUAACUCCUUAAGGGGUCAAUUGACCAUUUAGGUCAUGUGGACUUAUUUGUAGAUCUUACUUUGAUGAACAUUAUCGCUGUUUACAGUUUAUCGCUUUCUAUAAUAGUAUUCAAGAUAAUAACCAAAAACAGCAAAAUUUCUUUAAAAAUUACCAAUUGGAGGGCAGCAACCCAACAACCGGUUGUCCAAUUCAUUUGAAUAUUUCAGGGCAGAUAUAUAUUGACUUGAUUAACAAUUUAACUCCUUGUCAGAUUUCCUCUAAAUGAUUUGGGUUUCAGAGUUAUAAGCAAAAAACUACAUGUUACCCCUGUUCUAUUUUUAGCCGUGGUGGCCAUCUUGGUUGGAUGGCCAGGUCAUCGGACACAUUUUUCAAACAAGGUACCUCAAAGAUGAUUGUGGCCAAGUUUGAAUUAAUUUGGCCCAGUAGUUUCAGAGGAGAAGAUUUUUGUAAAAGAUAACUAAGAUUUACGAAAAAUGGUUAAAAAAUUGACUAUAAAGGGCAAUAACUCCUAAAGGGGUCAACUGACCAUUUCGGUCAUGUUGACUUAUUUGUAAAUCAUACUUUGAUGAACAUUAUUGCUGUUUACAGUUUAUCUCUAUCUAUG